Molecule: long non-coding RNA, 968 nt
Organism: Oryzias melastigma (Indian medaka)
Lineage: Eukaryota; Metazoa; Chordata; Actinopteri; Beloniformes; Adrianichthyidae
Exons: 2
Source: RefSeq, a predicted model, not a curated record
UGAGAUCACACAGAAACAUCACUGCCUUCAUCAUGAAGGAGAAGACGACAGAAAACACAAAGACUCACCAUGAAGAAGAAGAAAGUUGGAGCCUCGUCUCUUCCUGCUCUAACAUGGAGAAAAACACUAAACUUCCUCUUUUCCUGGUUCAAGGACACCUGAACAGAGCUCCGCCCCCUGGAUGUAUGGAUGUGUUUGUUAGCUCCUCCCUGUAAUCAGACCCUUAGAGAGUCUCUGCUAUACAGGAACUGACAUGACUGUGUGUUCUUUUUUUUAUUAAUAAAGUUAGAAAACUUGUGAAAAACUGAAGGUAGAAAAAUAACAGAAGAAUGAAUAAAAUCUCAGGUAAAGUAAAUUCUUAAGUUCUUCAUCAAACUGCAGCUGAGCUCUCACCAUGUCACACAUCUGCUGUCUGGUUGAUCAAACCUCCUUUCAUGUUGUGUGCAUACGUGAGUGUGUGUCUGUAAAUGUUGUGUGUUUCUCUGACUGUUAAGGACCAACAACAACACAACAUGGCAGCAACCGUCACCACCACAUCCUCAGAGACUUCCUCUGUUUAGCUGCUUCAACAUGAACUAUGGGAACAGAGAAUUGAAACAAUUCUGUAGAAGAUGCAGGAAUAAAGGAGUGCUGCCCCCUGCUGGACAGCUUUCUGACAGCAACUCAGCAGUGAAGCUUCAGGAUGGAGUCAGUUCCAACAGAUCAGAUCAACGUUCUGCUCUCUGCUAAAGAGGAAGAACGUCUCCUUCUAAGAAGAAUCCAGAGUUCAUGAUCACAAACAUCAACUGAAGCCCAAAUCAGAGCUGAUCAGACUGCAUGGAGCCAAAGAAAGACUUUUUCUGACUGAAAAGAGGAGAAAAGAAGAAGUCAUCCACAUGAAGCUUCAAGUCAGUGGAGAAAACUACCUGCUGAACAAAAGUACUCGAGUACUGAGGAAGAGUUUGAACGUCUGAUUUAUUGCUUAGAAU